Molecule: non-coding RNA, 24 nt
Filed under: Rattus norvegicus (Norway rat)
Lineage: Eukaryota; Metazoa; Chordata; Mammalia; Rodentia; Muridae
Source: RNAcentral
AAGAGCACGUGCGACCUGCCUGAC